AGCAACGAAGAAGAUCUGCAUGUUUGACGCACCACACACACGGGGGUUUUAUACUCAUUAUAAAUUGCGUUAGGGAAGUUCUCCAGACAUGUGUACCUGUAAUGGGUUAUUGAAAGCAGCCUUUCUUAAGGUUGUGGUAUUCAAUUAUGCCAAAUUAUCAGCUAAGAUAGCUGUGGUAUGGUUGGGUAUCCAAUAGUUCUUGUCAUAGGAAUAGGUAUUGCGGAUCUUGGUAAAAUUUAUUUUAUCAUGAACUCAAUGGAGGCUACUCUCUUUUGUUGC
RNAcentral lists this RNase MRP RNA (279 nucleotides) under Absidia repens. RNAcentral describes it as "RNase MRP". It matches the Rfam family "RNase MRP". Rfam says of the family: RNase MRP is an enzymatically active ribonucleoprotein with two distinct roles in eukaryotes. Lineage: Eukaryota; Fungi; Mucoromycota; Mucoromycetes; Mucorales; Cunninghamellaceae. The record is from Rfam by way of RNAcentral.